ACCGGAGACGGAAGCUACAAGAGUGGCUGAGUUUGGGGUCCCUCAGGUUCCUUUUUCAAAAG
Chlorocebus sabaeus (green monkey) is the source of this 62-nucleotide microRNA precursor. NCBI's taxonomy places the organism in Eukaryota, Metazoa, Chordata, Mammalia, Primates, Cercopithecidae. The record is from Ensembl.